This 253-nucleotide ribosomal RNA is filed under the name uncultured bacterium. RNAcentral's name for it is "partial 16S ribosomal RNA". It matches the Rfam family "Bacterial small subunit ribosomal RNA", at positions 524 to 776 of the family's 1533-position model. The record is from RNAcentral.
UACAGAGGGGGCAAGCGUUGUCCGGAAUUACUGGGCGUACAGCGCGCGCAGGCGGUUGCCGACGUGCCGUGUGACAAACGGGGGCUCAACCCCCGAGGGCCACGGUAAACGGGGCGACUGGAGGUAGGGAGAGGGAUGUGGAAUGCCCGGUGGAGCGGUGAAAUGCGUAGAGAUCGGGAGGAACACCAGUGGCGAAGGCGGCUUGCUGGGCCGGACCUGACGCUGAGACGCGAAGGCGUGGGGAGCGAACGGG